CGAACGGGUGAGUAACACGUGGGUAAUCUGCCCUCGAUUCUGGGAUAGCCCGGGGAAACCCGGAUUAAUACCGGAUAGCCUCUCGAGCUUACGAGCUCGUGAGAAAAGGUAGCUUCGGCCUCCGAUCGAGGAUGAGCCCGCGGCGGAUUAGCUUGUUGGUGGGGUAAUGGCCUACCAAGGCGACGAUCCGUAGCUGGUCUGAGAGGACGAUCAGCCACACUGGGACUGAGACACGGCCCAGACUCCUACGGGAGGCAGCAGUGGGGAAUCUUGCGCAAUGGGCGAAAGCCUGACGCAGCGACGCCGCGUGGGGGAAGAAGGCCUUCGGGUUGUAAACCUCUUUCAGCAGGGACGAAGCCACUCGGGUUAAUAGCCCAGAGGGUGACGGUACCUGCAGAAGAAGCCCCGGCUAACUACGUGCCAGCAGCCGCGGUAAUACGUAGGGGGCAAGCGUUGUCCGGAUUUAUUGGGCGUAAAGAGCGUGUAGGCGGCCGCACAGGUCCGUUGUGAAAACUGGAGGCUUAACCUUCAGACGUCGAUGGAAACCGUGCGGCUAGAGUCCGGAAGAGGAGAAUGGAAUUCCUGGUGUAGCG
RNAcentral lists this ribosomal RNA (593 nucleotides) under uncultured bacterium. Its description in RNAcentral is "bacterial SSU rRNA". It matches the Rfam family "Bacterial small subunit ribosomal RNA", at positions 99 to 680 of the family's 1533-position model. The record is from RNAcentral.